Molecule: long non-coding RNA, 312 nt
Filed under: Mytilus galloprovincialis (Mediterranean mussel)
Lineage: Eukaryota; Metazoa; Mollusca; Bivalvia; Mytilida; Mytilidae
Source: RNAcentral
UUUUUUUUAAAUCACCACAAAUUUUAGAGUUCGUUUUUUUACAUGUCUUUUUAAUCUAACAGCUUUAAAUCAAAAUAGACAACCUUAGGAUAUAAUCGUGACCUUUGAUGUAUAAUUGAGAAGGUUAAGCACUUUAGAUGUUUUUCUGGUACACAUAUUUCGUAUAUACUUCAAAAAGAGCACAUAGUUUACUAGAGUAAUAUACUUCCAAAUAUCAUUCUUAUUACAACUACAUGGAAAAGUUGUGCAAACUUCUCGUUUUAUCUGUAUUCUAAACAUUUAUCGAAAUUUCACAUUUAACCGAAUUUGUUG